Molecule: non-coding RNA, 339 nt
Organism: Vicia faba (fava bean)
Lineage: Eukaryota; Viridiplantae; Streptophyta; Magnoliopsida; Fabales; Fabaceae
Source: the annotation of a GenBank genome assembly
AUGAAGAUUACGAUCUAUUAUCAUUUAUGGUUCACAAACAUCUAUAUAGAGUUUUUUGGAAUUACUUACUCAGCACAAGAGUUCAUUAUCGUUGCGGAUUGCCCCGGAUCUCUAUUUCAAUGUGUGGUGUUGUUAGUUGUAUUACACCAAUUUCUGAUUGGAAUCACUCGGAUUUCAUAUAGUACGACAAUUAUUAAUUUGUUUUUGAAGUUUAAUCAGUGUUAUGAUAUGGAUCUUCUUCAAGUUUUGUUCUCUAAACUUUACGCCAGUCUGCAUAUAUUGAGAAGGGUUUGUAGAUAUUUGGUACUCCCUUUGUUUUAUCAAUUAAGCAUGGUUUAA